GACGAACGCUGGCGGCGUGCUUAACACAUGCAAGUCGAGCGAUGAAGUUUCCUUCGGGAAAUGGAUUAGCGGCGGACGGGUGAGUAACACGUGGGUAACCUGCCUCAUAGAGUGGACUAGCCUUCCGAAAGGAAGAUUAAUACCGCAUAAUGUUGAAAGAUGGCAUCAUCAUUCAACCAAAGGAGCAAUCCGCUAUGAGAUGGACCCGCGGCGCAUUAGCUAGUUGGUGGGGUAAGGGCCUACCAAGGCGACGAUGCGUAGCCGACCUGAGAGGGUGAUCGGCCACAUUGGGACUGAGACACGGCCCAGACUCCAACGGGAGGCAGCAGUGGGGAAUAUUGCACAAUGGGGGAAACCCUGAUGCAGCAACGCCGCGUGAGUGAUGAAGGUUUUCGGAUCGUAAAGCUCUGUCUUUGGGGAAGAUAAUGACGGUACCCAAGGAGGAAGCCACGGCUAACUACGUGCCAGCCGCCGCAGUAA
Molecule: ribosomal RNA, 480 nt
Filed under: uncultured bacterium
Lineage: Bacteria
Description: partial 16S ribosomal RNA
Rfam family: Bacterial small subunit ribosomal RNA
Source: RNAcentral